UGGGGAAUCAUGGUCAAUGGGCGAAAGCCUGAACCUGCGACGCCGCGUGAGUGAUGAAGGUCGUAAGAUCGUAAAACUCUUUUCAGGGAUCUUAAAGCCUGUCUGUCAACAACAGGCAGGUCUGACUCUCCCUGGAAGAAGCCCCAGCCAACUACGUGCCAGCAGCUGCGGUGAUACGUAGGGGGCGCGCGUUAUUCGGAAUUACUGGGGGUACAGGGUAUGUAGGCGGCCCUUCAAGUCGCGUGUCAAAGUCCAGUGCUCAACGCUGGGUGUGCACG
Molecule: ribosomal RNA, 278 nt
Filed under: uncultured prokaryote
Description: partial 16S ribosomal RNA
Rfam family: Bacterial small subunit ribosomal RNA
Source: RNAcentral